Molecule: ribosomal RNA, 534 nt
Filed under: uncultured bacterium
Lineage: Bacteria
Description: partial 16S ribosomal RNA
Rfam family: Bacterial small subunit ribosomal RNA
Source: RNAcentral
UGGGGAAUUUUGGACAAUGGGGGAAACCCUGAUCCAGCCAUCCCGCGUGUGCGAUGAAGGCCUUCGGGUUGUAAAGCACUUUUGGCAGGAAAGAAACGUCGCGGGUUAAUACCCCGCGAAACUGACGGUACCUGCAGAAUAAGCACCGGCUAACUACGUGCCAGCAGCCGCGGUAAUACGUAGGGUGCAAGCGUUAAUCGGAAUUACUGGGCGUAAAGCGUGCGCAGGCGGUUCGGAAAGAAAGAUGUGAAAUCCCAGAGCUUAACUUUGGAACUGCAUUUUUAACUACCGGGCUAGAGUGUGUCAGAGGGAGGUGGAAUUCCGCGUGUAGCAGUGAAAUGCGUAGAUAUGCGGAGGAACACCGAUGGCGAAGGCAGCCUCCUGGGCAUAACACUGACGCUCAUGCACGAAAGCGUGGGGAGCAAACAGGAUUAGAUACCCUGGUAGUCCACGCCCUAAACGAUGUCAACUAGCUGUUGGGGCCUUCGGGCCUUGGUAGCGCAGCUAACGCGUGAAGUUGACCGCCUGGGGAGU